AAACUGUGUCCUGAAGGCUGAGUAGGGUUUGGGAAGUGAGGAGGGAUAGGUAUGUGGCCCAGGCAAAGGAUCAGUGGAUGUCCUCAUAGGACAACACAUCUCUGGUUGUCUGAUUAGUUCAAGGUGAGGCUCUGUGUAUACAUGUACCAAAUGGCCAAAUAUAUAACCCAGGAGAGGGGAAGAGGAAGAAAGAGAAGUGUGGGGAGAAAGAAGGAGGAAUAGUCACAGAAAUUGAGAGAAAAGGAGGGAGAAAAGAAGAAGAAGAAGGGAGACAAGGAGAGAGAAGUUGGUUGAGUUGAGUAGACAGAUCUGAGUCAUCAUUCUUGGAAAACUCAAGAGUGGUGAUUGGCCAGCUGCCUCUUGGAGCAUUCCCUGUACCUGGUCCUGUGCUCAGAUAUGGGGGAUUUGAAGAGAGUCAUCCCUGCCAUCAUGUAUUCACACUCCUGCUGAGGAAAGGAAACUUUGUACAGGGAAUAAUGCUAAGUAUUGCAAAUUUGGGGGUAGAAAGAGAUCAAGGUAAGUUAAAACAGUCAAGGAAGUCUUGACAGUUCUUGGAGUUGACCCUACUGAGAUGGUUUAACUGCUACACAUUCCUGACUGGGGGUGCUAUUGUGGGAACUGCCUCUCCCAUGGCUGACAGUGUCCAUGUUGAUUUCAGGACUCAGGAUGCUGUUGCUGCAAGCCCUUCUACUGCUAUUAGGCCUGCUUAGUCAUGCCCAGGAUGUUACUACUGAAGGGCCAGGAGCCCUGCUUCCCAUGCCCAAGGGGGCCUGUGCAGGUUGGAUGGCAGGCAUCCCAGGGCAUCCUGGUCAUAAUGGAACCCCAGGCCGUGAUGGAAGAGAUGGCACCCCUGGUGAGAAGGGUGAGAAGGGAGACACAGGUAAGAACAAGGUUUUUUGUUUCCUUCAUCAUUCCUGGGUAGAGGAGGGUCUCCAGGGCUACAUGAGAGCACUAGUUAUUACUUAAGGCCUAGACACAGGAAAGAUGCAGCACUUUUUUCUUAUGUGACCAUUAAGCAGCCUGGAAUGGAUUUUGAGUUGGAUGUCCAGGGGAGAGACAAGGUGGUACCUUUAAACCCAAAUGACUCCGAUCCACCUGCAUCUCCUUCCUUGUCCCUUUCCCAUCCUCUUAUUCCCCAAAUGUUCACUUUUUCUAUUCUUUUCUCUUUCAUUCCUGUUUCUUCCAGCAGCAUUCAACCACUCUUAACUGCAUACUCUCCAAUGUUCUCCACAAGUUUCGGAGAACUCUUGGUUUUGUUAAGAGGAUAACUCUAACGUACAAGACUCUGUUACGGGUUACUACAAGAAAGCCAAACUGAAUGUGAACAAGUGUCCAAAGUGUGGAACACAGAGAAAAUAUGCUCAAUGAAGAUCUGGAUUAAUAUGAAAUUUCUUUGAGAAGGCAGGGUUUGAGUCAGACCUUGAAAGAUGUGUAGGCAGAAUAGAGGAGAGAGGGCAUCAUGGACAGAGCAGAUAGAGGCCAAACUGUAGUUGGUUGAGCCAGUAUACUAAAGGUUAAAAGGUAGAGAGUCUAUGAUGGAGACUUAUAGGAGAUAAGGUUGGAGACUUAUUUGUGAGAACCCGUGGGGCUCUGGGGUAUGUAUAAAGAGGAGGUGACAUUUCUCCUUGUUCUGUCAGGCAAGCUGUGGGUGGAGGUCCCAGGGACAAUGGUUUUAGCUGGACAAAACCUAGACAAGAGCUCCAUUUCCUGUGGUCACUGAAAUUGUCUCAUUCUCUAGGUCUUGUUGGUCCUAAGGGUGACACUGGUGAAACUGGAGUGACUGGGGGUGAAGGUCCCCGAGGCUUUCCAGGAAUCCCAGGCAGGAAAGGAGAACCUGGAGAAGGUGCUUAUGUAUACCGAUCAGCAUUCAGUGUGGGACUGGAAACCAAGGACACCAUCCCCAAUGUUCCCAUUCGUUUUACCAAGAUCUUCUACAAUCAGCAAAACCACUAUGAUGGCACCACUGGCAAAUUCCACUGCAACAUUCCUGGGCUGUACUACUUCUCCUACCAUAUCACAGUCUACAUGAAGGAUGUGAAGGUCAGCCUCUUCAAGAAGGACAAAGCUACGCUCUUCACCUAUGACCAGUACCAGGACAAGAAUGUGGACCAGGCCUCUGGCUCUGUGCUCCUCCAUCUGGAGGUGGGCGAUCAAGUCUGGCUUCAGGUGUAUGGGGAUGGAGACCAUAAUGGAGUCUAUGCUGACAAUGUUAAUGACUCUACCUUCACAGGCUUUCUUCUCUACCAUGACACCAACUGAUCACUACUCACUCUGAGCCUCCACCAGACCCAACAGUCAAAAAGUCAAUUAAAGAACCGUCAACAUCUUUCAGCAUAGCAAAGAGAUUGAUUUUAUUGUUCAGUAUGAGAAUUUUAAACAUUAUUGGUCCAUUUACUCAUUAGUUAAUUAAUUAGGAUAGGAUUUGGUUAUGUGGAGAGAAUGAGGUGGAAUUAAUUUUCACAAAAGUCAUGUACUGUGUUUCUAGUCUUGAAGAUGAUAUGAUUCCUGGCCUCCAGGAUCUCUUAUGUAGUAGUAAUAAUAGAAUAAUAAUAACAAGUACUGAGGGAGUAUCACCCUGUAAUGACUACCAGGAAGUAGGUGACAAUGCUAUUUUGUGCCCACUGUGUCUCCUGACAUUCAUGCCAAUCAUAUAAAGUAUACAGGAAAGAUACUAAUCUCCUCUUUUUACAGUUGGGGUCCUGAGGUUGAGAAUUAAGUGGCAGAGUUAAAAAUCAAACCCAGAGCCUUGGACUUUUCUUACUAGACUGUUUUCCCUUGUAGAAGAACAUGGCCUCUUUGGAGUGGUGGUAUGGGUCUGUUUCCCACCUCACCUAAGGAUCUCUGAAUUCCUCUUCAUCAGGUCAAAUCUACUCCCAGCAGAGCUCCCUCAGAGAAGGUGGUUGGUUCUAUGGUAGGUCCCAUCCCAGCGGGACCACACAAUGGCUUCUGAACUACUCUGUACUCGCUCUUGUCUGUCUCUCCUCAUGCUCUUCUUUCCACCUAAGAAAACUGCUUCCAUCUCCAAAUGUUGAAUUCUUCCCUGUUCCUCAAGUCCACCUGGAUAGGAGCUUCUCUAAUGUGACCUCUGUUUCUUGCAAACUUUCCUUGCACACAGUGUCCCUCUGUUUUACCAUCAAUGAGUAUCCUGGAUGUGGGAGACAUCCUCACUCAAACUAGGGGCAACUGCCUGGUAAGGGCUUCCUUCACCCAUGAAUCCCUUGAAGGUCCUUGAUAAAUGCCUGAUGAAGACUGAUCUCUUGAAUCUCAUAUGUACCCAGAAUUAAUUCCACCUCAUUCUCUUCAUAUAAAUAACCAAAGCUUCAUCUGUAGAAAUAUCUUUAAUUUAGGAAUUCCCUGGUUUUAAGCACCAAAUCCUUACUCAAAUAGAUAGCUUAAACCUUUUCCAUCAGAGAAGGGGUGAUUAUGCUUUACAGAACUUAAAGAAUUCUCCUUUAAAAAGAUAACUUGAGCCUGAAAUGAAAAAUGCAGGGAGGAAUUAGGAAACCAUUCUUUCUAUGGAUACUGUCAAGACUGGGGAUGACUUGGGCCUCCUGAAUUUAUUCUUUUUAUUUUUUAUUUUAUUUUUUAAGAAGUACAGGUGGUUGAUGGUGGUUUUAGGAAAAGUAACUAUAGCGUGUGUAUUAAUAUAGGAAUGGAAAACCCAUUUUUGCCUACAGUUUUAAGUUCUGGAUGAUUCCCUUUUAUAUGUAUGUUGUUUUUCAUUAAGUGGUUAUUAUGAAAAAAUAAGACAAAAAAUAAGACAAAAAAAUAAGACAAGGCUUUGUCUUUUAAAGUACUUGCAUAUCAUUAUUUUCUAUAAAUAAAAUUGUUAUCUAACAUUAAAAGUAAAAGCACUUGCUGCAUGUGAAGUGUGUUUUUAUUUCUGGAGGAAGGAAUGUGGUUUAAAAAGGGAUGAACUUUGGGUUAGUUAGGACACAAUAUUGUGAAUAACAGAAAACCCAAACCCAAACUAACACAAGGAAAAUUAAAAAAAAAAAAAGUUUUUCUUUUUUGGAUAGAAAAUACCAGAGCUAUCCUGUUUUAGAUAAGGAAGCAAUUGUCCCUUUUUUAUCUGUUCUUUCUCUGUACCUUCUAUAGUGAGGCUUCACUCUCAGGAGCUGCAGAGUAUAGUUUGAGGCUCUGCCUCAUACGUCAAGAAGGAAUUAGCAGGGUUGGGGAUGUAGACCAGUAGUAGUGUGCUUGACUAGCAUGCUCAAGGCCUUGGGUUUAAUCCCCAGUACUGCUAAAAAUGCACAACUAAACCCCAAAACCAUAACCUGCCCAGUUCUUGUAGCUUCACAUCACACCAUUCAGCCAAAUGGAUAGUGUCAUUUCUGGUGGUUCCCAAAGAGAAGAGAGAACACUCUUUUCCAGAAGUCUCAGCAAGUAUGUACUUGUAUCUCAUCAGCUUUGGCCAGGUUUGUGGGCCCAUCUCUGACUAAUCACCGGAGUCAGGAGCACUGACUACGCUCAAUGACAAGUUUAAUUAUGGCUCAAGAAAGGGGUAUUUAGACAUAUUUUCCCUAAAGCAAAAUCUGUACACUAUUACCACAAGUGGGAGAACAGAUGAUGAAUAUGAAUCAAUGCCUGUCCACACAAACUAUUAAUGUUAUAUUUGAAUUUUCUUUGGCUUCUUAGAGAGAUAUUGCAGGCAAAUUACUGUCAGUUUUCUCUAAAAUUUCAACAAGUAGCUAAUGUCUAGUCAUGCUUAUAGUCCCAUAUCUGGCUAGGGUGAGACUCUCACAGAACUAGACAUGGUGCUAUGCUCACACGAAGUUCUCUGGGGCACAGUCCUUUCCUUUAGGAAGCAGAAGCACAGAGAAGAUCAAUCUAUAAAACACCUCCUGAGAGAAACUGUGACAGUGAUUUUAGGAUUGAUGCUCUUCUGAUGUUUUUAAGUAUAAUUGUGUAUUUAUCUAUUUCUCUUCAGUUCUGACAGCCUUUGCUUGAUGUUUCUAGGAGCUCUGUUGUUAGAUACAUACAUAUUUAGCCUUAUGUCUUUUUGUGAAUUUAGUCUUUUACCACUAUAUAAAUCUUCAUCUAUGAUAAUUUUACCUGUUCUGAAGUCUAUUUUGUCUAAAAUCACCAUAGGAAUUCAAUUCUCUUUUGAUUAGUAUUUGGAUAUCAUAACUUUUCCCAUCAUGUUACUUUAUUUAUUUAUUUUUAAAUAUUUAUUUUUUAGUUUUAGGUGGACACAACAUCUUUAUUUUAUUUAUUUUUUAUGUGGUGCUGAGGAUCGAACCCAGUGCCUCACGCAUGCCAGGCAAGCUUGCUACCACUUGAGCCACAUCCCUAGUCCAUGUUACUUUAAAUAUAUUUGUAUCAUUAGAUUCAAAAUGUGUUUCUUUUAGAUUGUGUAUAAUUGGGUCUUUUUAAAAAAUUAAACAUGAAAAUCACUUUCUUUUAAUUGGCAUUUAGAAAAUUUAUGUUUUAAUAAAAUUGUGGUCAUGGUUGGAUUUAAGGGGAUCAUUUAUUUGUUUUCUGUUUGGCACUUUUAAUUAUCCUUCUUAAUCACUUUAGAUUAUUUGAAUAUUUCAUAGUAUUUAAUCUUGAUUAAUUAAUUAGCUUUUUGGCUAUGAUUCUGUGGUGCUUUUUAGUGGUUUCUCUAGAAAUCGUAAUGUACACUUUUUUUUUACAGUAUAUGUAGAGUUAAUAUUUUACCACUUUGAGCAAACAAUAGAAAUCUUAUAACCAUAUAGGUUCCUUUAUUCUUUUUCCUUUAUGUUGUACAUGCUGUAUAUAUUACAGCUAUAUGGUCACAUAUAUUUUAAAUAAUUUAAAGGGAAAAACACUUAAUUCAGAUAUUUUUAUCUCUUUUGUUUUUUAUAUGUAACUGAAAGUUCCACAUUUCCCUCUGAGGUAGUUUCUCCUUAACCUGAAGAAUUUUAUUUAGCAUUAGAGCAAGUCUGUUGGUGAUGAAUUCCCUCAGAUUUCCUUCAUUUGAGAAUGCCCUUAUUUUGCUUAAAUACCUUAAGGAUAUUUUCUCUGGAUAUAGAAUUCUUAGUUGACAAUACUUCCCUUCCAGCACUUUAGUUUACUUUAUUGUUUUCUUCCAAUACUUUAAAGAUAUUAUCUCACUAUCUUUCAUGGUUUUAUGAGAAACCUGUGUUCAUAGUUGCCCUUAUAUGUAAUUUACCAUUUUUUCUUCUUGCUGCUUUUAAGGUUUUCUUUACCUUCGGUUUCCAACAGUUUGAUUAUGCUGUGUUUACAUGUUUUCUUUAUUUUAACCUAUUUUGGGUACAUUGAACUUCUUGAGUCUGUAAAUAUAUGUCUUUUAACAAAUUUGAAACACUUUCUGCCAUUAUUUUUUCAAAUAUAUUUUCUGAGUCUUUCUGGAAUUUCAAUGACAUGAAUGUUAGAUCAAUAGCUCUCUAAGGUUUUUUUUUUUUUACUUUUUGCUAAUAUUUCCUUUUUAGUUCUUUUUAUUACAUAAUUUCUAUUAAUAUAGUUUUAAGUUUACAGAAUUCCCUCUUAUUGAUACUCUGCUAUUGAGUCAUCUAGCAAAUGGUUAAUUUCAGAUAUUGUUAUCUCCCAGUUUAAAAAUUUUCAUUUGGUUGCAUGUGUAUUUUGUAUGUUCUUUUGAGAACACUAAUACUUCCAUUUAUUUCAAGAAUGCGCAUCUUGGGGCUGGGAUUGUGGCUCAGCAGUAGAGUGCUCACUUAGCACUGGCGGGGCCCAGGUUCAAUUCUUAGCACCACAGAAAAAUAAAGGCAUUGUGUUGUGUCCAUCUACACCUAAAUAAGUAAAUAAAUAAUUUUUUUUUAAAAAAGAAUGUUCAUCUUUACCUAUGGCUAUAAUAGGUAUUUUUAAAGACUAUCUGGCUAUAAUAGGUAUUCAAAAGACUAGUUCUAACUUGGGUCAUAUCAGGAUUGGCAUCCUUAACAUUGGUAAUAGGUUUCUUCUGCAUUGAAGAAUUUUGGAUGGUAUCCUGAAUAUUUUGAAUAUUGUGAUGUAAGACUCUAGGUUCUCUUAAAAUUUUCUAGUGAAAGUUGAUUUAUUUUAUUAUAUUUUAUUUUUGAGUAUUUGAAAGCAGACAAGUGAUUCAGGUUCAGACUUAAGUUAUGUUUUGCCUUUCACAGGUGGGUAUUCCAAAGUCAGUCCAGUUUUUGAGCCUCUGCUAUGCUUUUGGGUCUAUAUGUCCCAUGCACCUCUCAGAGUUUCAUCUGAGACUUAAAAUCUCAGCUUCAUUGUGUCUGUUCCACAUGUGUGCAAUAGAGAAUUGAGACUGGGACUUGUGAAGGUUCCUAUGCAAAAUUAGAAGAUAUCAUUUUCCAACUUUCUCCUCUGGCAUUUCCCUAUAGUCUUCAUUCCCCAGUGACCCUCCCUUUCCUGGUUCUUCCGGCCAGGAAACUGGGAUUCUUUUAGAAUUUUACUCCUUGUGACUAAGGGUCCUGCAUGAUUGUGCUGUUCUGUGUGACUGGGGAUGUUUGAGGGGUAAAGCACUGAAAGUAAAAGAUGUAUUGGGAGUUUUAGAUGAGAUAUAAAUGCUCUUCCUAUGACAAUAUUACCCAUUGGCUAGGGCUGGCUUCAGGGCAGGCCUGGAAGAGAAGACUGAAGAAAACAUGUUAGGAAAAUCAGGAAUUUCUUUUACUCUUUUUGUCACCCUGGAGUUACCUUUCCUGGUCUUCUAGUUGAGCAAGAGGUGAUAUCCCCUGGAGUUUUUCCUGACAGUGCCUACUAUAUAAUUCCAGAACUUGGCCUGCCCUUCAGGUUAAAUCCAGGAGAUAAAGAAGACAUAAAAACUCCACAAAAAAACUCCCUUUGUCUAUGGGUUAUUAUUUAAGUAUUGACUUUAGUCCUGCAUCUGUCCUGCUGUUAUUACUUUUCAGUAUUCUUAGGUAUUUUUUUUUCUUUUUCUCAACAAUGUUAGUUAUAAUCAGUGGGAAAGAUUGCAGUGGCUAACUUUAGCUUGACUAGUAUUGGACAUCCCACAUCCCAGGAUAGUCUUGAAGAAAGAAAAAGAAAAGGAAUUGAAGGAUGGCAGGCGCCCCAGGAAUCAAAUAAUUUACCUUGAACUUAAUGGAUGUCAAAGAAAAUAAAUCCAAUCUUGAGAUAGACCAUUGUCAAAAAUAUGGAAGGUACCAAAAAUUCUAUGACCAAGGAAAAUGGGGCCAAAUAAGGUCUUGACUAUGAUCCUGGCCUCUGUUUUUUUUUUUUUUCCCCCUGUGUCUGGUGAUUGAUGAGAAUACAUCAGACAUUGUGCCAGAUACAUUGUGCCAGAAGUAUUUACCUUCAAACUUAGAAUUUUUCAUGUAAUAUUUCAGUUAGGAAUGUUUGGAAAUAUCCAGAUUUUAAAAGACAGUUUAAAAAUAGUUUUUUCCUUUGAUGUAUUUGGUUUCCACGAGGUAUUUUACAGCAUGUAAACAUGAUUUUGAACAAAAUUCACUGUUUAAAAAGCACAUUUCUUCAAAAAUGAGUGAAGCAAUAAAAAUGGACAGAACUCUCCACUUUACUAGUUCUGUAUUCUUCAUAAUAUUGGCAUAAAUAAAAUUCUUGGGCUGGAAUCCAGGUUUAAUCUGCAGUGCAGAGAUAGUGCUGUGAUCAGGUUAAGGGUCUGUCCAUGGCUGUGAUGUGGUGGACACCUUCUGGAUGUUCUGCCACAUUUUUCUUGGUGGCGGACCACUCACUCCCUGACCCUUUUAGUCAGAUUAGUGCUCCAAUCAGAUCCCUGUCUCUAAAGACCAUUGAAUUAACCAGAGUAAGUACUUGGAUUAAGCUGGGUUCUAUGCUCAUCCCCUCCCCAACUCAUGUUGAAAUUUAGUUACUAUGAUGCCAGGUGCUAAAGUGUUAAUUAGGUAAUGAAAGCUCCAUCCUCAUGAAUAGACAAGUGCUGUUGUCCUGGGGUAGAUUCAGACUUUUUGCUCUCUCUUUGCCCUUCUGCCAUGUGAUGCCCUUCUGCUAUGGGAUAACAUAAUAAGAAGGUCUUUGCAAGAUGCUGUUAUCUUAAUCUUGGAGUUCCCAGCCUCUGCAAUGUGAGCCAAUAUAUUUCUGUUCUUUUUAAACAACCCGGUCUGUGGUAUUCUAUUAUAGUAUCCCCAAACAGAAAAAGAUACUGGUUCAACCAGAUCCUUGCAGGGAUGUGAAUUAGGAUGGAUGCAAAACAUGCAGACUCAAGACCCACAGGUGGCUACUUUCUGCCCUGCUUUCUACAGGGAGGGGAAGCCUAGCUGCAGAGAAAGAAACAGGCUUCCAGAGAGACAGAACUGAGACAGAAAGAAAGAGAUUUUGCCAGUCCUCUGGGUUGCUGGAAGCUUUCCACUGUUUAAUUUAGUACUUCUUGGGAUUUAGUUGUAUUCCUACUCAUGGUCCCAGGAAACACCAGUUACUAGGUUUUUACACAAUUUCCUCUUUCAACUUAAGCUAGCUGGUGUUGAUUUCUCUUAUUUGUAUCCAAAAAUACAUAAGGUCAGGAAUUAUUCUGUGACUGUGCCUAGGGACUAGCAUGAGGUCCAGUUAGGGAGAACAUUUAGUAAUGGGGUAAUAGAUUUAAAGUAUUCAAGCCCUUAUAGGAUCAAAUCUAGAACUGAAGCUUCAUGUGUAUUUGUUUUAUUAGCAAUUAAUCCCCCAGCUUAGAAAUCCCUUAUGGGGCGCAGAGACUUUCUAUUUCAUCUUUGAAUUCUUUAUAGAGAUUCAUUCAUUCUACAAUCAUUUAUUGACUAUCUAUUAUGUACCAGACACAAAAUAACUUGAAGAAUAGCAACAGAAAUAAUAAUAAUAAUAACAACCAUUUUAAAGCACGUGCUUGAUGUACAUUAUUUUAUUUAAUAAAGUACAUUAUUUUAUUUAAUCCUUUAACAGCUCAUAAAUUAAAUGUCAUCAACUAAGCUGUUAGAAAAAAAAAAAAGUUGGAGCUUAGUGAGGCUAAUUAAGUGGCUCAAAGCCACAACUAGUAAUUGUAGAAUAAAGAUCCACACUCAGGGUCGCCUGACUCUAAAGUUCAUGCUGUAGAAACAAUAAUCCCCAAUACCACUGGUGUUUUCCCCUACUGUUUUCAAGACAUUUGGGGGAUAGGCUGUUUACACAACCUGUUGCUGUAAUGUUUGCAAUCCUGUAAAUACCAGGAGUGGAAAAACUUGCCUUUGUAAAGUGAGUCAUUGAAUUUGCUAUAUGACAGAAAGUCUGGUUGUUAAAAGGAAAUAUGAUGAAAUGUCUCACCCAUCAUUCAUGUGAACUAGUUCAGAGUCCUGCACUGAGGUUCUUUGUAAUAUGAUGCAAGGGGAAAAAAAAAAAGAUCUUGCAAAAUAGUUUGUUUAUACCUAUCAAAAUAGGUUGAGUCAAGGUUCAACCAUUCUUUACUAAAAAUGCUAUGUAAAUUAAAAAUAGAAUGCUACUUCCUUAACAUGAUAAAGAAUAACAAAUUCUAAACAGUGUUGAAUGUUAUAAUAAAAUAGUGAAACAUUAAAUGCAUUCCCAUCAAACUUGGUAUAAAACAAGAAUACUUGGUUUCACCAUUCUUAGUUAAUAAUGUUCUGGAGAUCCUGUUAUUUUAUGCGCUUACCUUUGAGUUUCUUCUUGUUUUAUUUUACAUUAUUAUCACAGUCUUUCAUCAAACAGGCACCAGGGGAAAUUAAAAAAAUUUUUUUUGUUUGUUUUAUAUAUUUUUUUUAUCCCAUUUUAUAUUUUUCUGUUUUAUUUUCAGUAUUUGUUUACAAGUAAUAGAAACCCAAGUCCAAUCAGCUUGAGCAAAAAUAGGAAUUUAUUGGUUAAGAAGCCAAAAAUUACAGUGAUGGAGCAAAUUACAGUCUAGAUAGACGUGAUUCAAUGACAUGGUCAUGGGGCUACCUGUCCUCUCAUUUCAUCAUAUUCUUCUUCUUUUAAUUGUUAUCAUUUUCCAGUUGCAGAUGGUUAUAAAAAAAUCUCAAUUUCUAUCCAUUAUUCUUACCCCAGAGCUAGAAACUUUCAGUCUUCUGAUGCCUCUGUAUCAAAUCCCACUGUAGUGUGAGCCUGGCCUUGUUUAAUUCUUGUGCCCAUCCUUGAUCUAAUAUGCGCAUACCCUGUGUCUGUUGAGUCAACCCCACCUGAAUCACCUGUAAACACUGCUUGACAGAAUCUGUGGAGAAAGAGGGGUAAUUAGAAAAGUACAAUUUUUACAACAAUUUAUUUAUGUAAAUUGAAAAAACAAACUUUCAUGAGCAAAUGACCACCUCACACAUAUCUUCCGUUAUCCCCUCCUCAGGACAGGAAAAAAAGAAAAAGACAGUUAUUAUUCAGAUUUGGCUGGCAGUUGGGUGUCAUUCCUUGCAGCUGAGCUCAAGAAACUAAAUUAGAUAAUUAAACACCUUACCAAAAAAGCAAUAAUCUUAUAACGGAAAGGACAUAACUUAUAACUGAAAGCAAUAAUCUUAUAACAGUUAUAAUAUAUUAGAGGUGUUAAAACUAGCGACAUAGUAAAAAACCGGUAGAGGUAAAGCUUAUGCAAUGGGAGAAAAAUGUUAAGUCCUGAGUUAUAAAUAGAAAAUCAAGUUUUGAGUUAAAAUGCUGACCUAUUCCUCAUAAAGAAACAAACAAGCAAAUUAAAAGAAGAUAAAAACAUGAGAGUGGGUUUCUGUAUAGCAGCCCCAUAUUAGAGAUUUAGAAAGAUUUGUUGAGUUGUAAGUCUUUCCCAAUAACAGCUCCUUGUUAUGUUAGUACUUCCUAUUUUUUUCUCAUGGAUACAAUGGCUAAAGCCUUCUUAGGUAAAGUCUCAAGGCUGGAGGCCAAGACUCAGGACCAUCUUCCUCAACCUGAUCAUUCAUGUUGUUUCAUGAAUCAUCAUGAAGCCCCCCAUCACUUUGUAAUAUUCUAUUGUCUGGAUAUCGUACAAUUUAUUUCUGCAGCUACCAGUCGAUGGAUGGCCAAAUCUAAGAAUGCUGGGUCAUAUGGUUUUGUAAUUUUCAGCAUCCACACAUGUGGAUUUUGUUAUAUUUAUUCUUUUUAAUUUUUUUGUAAUUGUAGAUGGACAACAUGCCUUUAUUUUAUUUGUUUCAUUUUUAUGUGGUGCUAAGGAUCAAACCAGUGCCUCACACAUGCUAGGCAAGUGCUUUGCUGCUGAGCUACAGCCCCAGCCCCUUACAUUUGUUCUUUUUCUUUCUUUUUGAAUAAUAUUUUCUUUAUUUAUAAGUUAGAAUCAAGAGACAAAGAAAGACAGUCCAGGGGACCAAAUGGGGAGGUAACUGAACCCCCAGAGCCCCAAAUGGAGUGGAAGGAAAAAGCAAAACAGAGUAGGAAAAAAAAUUUGUUCUUAAAUAUUUCAUGUUUUAAAUGAUACUAUAAUUGGCUUAAAUACAUUUCAAUUGCUGAUUGUUUAUUGUUAAUACAUGAGAAAUAUACUACUGAUUUUUGUGUAUUUGGCCUUGUAUGCAGUGACCUUGCCAGGUCUUCACUUACUAAUUCUAACUGCUUUUGUUACAGUCUCUUAGGGAUUUUCUGUGUACGGGAUAAUCAUCAGUUUUUCCUCUAUAGUAUAUGCACUUUAUUUACUAUCCUCUUUCUUCCUUUAUUGAACUAGUACAAUGUUGAAAGGAAGUGGGAAGAGUGGACCUCCUUGUCUUAUUCUUGAUAUUUGUAGGAAAGUAUUCAAUCUUUCACUACUGAGCUUAGUGUAGGAUUUCUUUUUUUUAUUGAUUUUUAAAAAAAUUAAAUGACAACAGAAUGCAUUACAAUUCUUAUUAUAUGUAUACAGCAUGAUUUUUCAUAGUUAGCUGUAGGAUUUCUAAAAUCAUUUAUUUUUUUUUCUUAUAGAUACCCUUUUUCAGAUUGAGGAAGUUCUCUUGGAUUAUUAGUUUGCUUUGAGUUGCUAUUUUUGCGAAAUCAUGAAUGAGUGUUACAUUUUUGCAAAUUUGUGGGGGGAGAUCUAUUAAGAUGAACAUGUAGUUUUCCUUCCUUUCUCUACAAAUGUGGUAAUUUGCCUUGUUUGAUUUGCAAAUGUAAAAAAUGAGCUUUUUUUAAAAAAUAAACUUCACUCAAUCUCAUGCUGUGUGUUAUCCUUUUUGUUUAUUGCUGAAUUUGAUUUGCUAGUAUUUUGUCAAUGCAUUCCAUAUAAAUGUUUAUGAGUGAUAUUGAUGUCCAUUUUUAUUGUAGUAACUCCUUGGUUUUGGUAUCAGGGUAAUAUUGCCUUUAUGACAUGGUUUGGGAAGCAUUCAUCAUCUCUUUGUUUCUGGAACACUUUGUGUAUUCUUACUACCUCUCCUUAAAUGUUUUAUGUACUUCUUCAUCAAAGCAGUCUGGACCUGGAGCUUUCUUUGUUGAGAGAAUUUUAACUAUAAGUUCAUUUUUUAAAAAGCUGAUAUAGGGAUAUUCAGGUGUUAUAUUUUCUUUUUGAGUCACUUUCACUAGUUUAUGUCCUUCAAGGAUUUUCAUGUACAUUGAGAUACUAUUAGUAUAAUUUUCUCAUAUGUCUUUAUUUUUUAAAAAUUUGUAGUGAAUCUGUAAAAUCUAUUAUGUUUUUCCUUCCAUCAUUCCUAAUACUGCUAAAAUUAUUCUCUUAGUGUUGAUAGUCUAGCUANGCUGUUAGAAAAAAAAAAGUUGGAGCUUAGUGAGGCUAAUUAAGUGGCUCAAAGCCACAACUAGUAAUUGUAGAAUAAAGAUCCACACUCAGGGUCGCCUGACUCUAAAGUUCAUGCUGUAGAAACAAUAAUCCCCAAUACCACUGGUGUUUUCCCCUACUGUUUUCAAGACAUUUGGGGGAUAGGCUGUUUACACAACCUGUUGCUGUAAUGUUUGCAAUCCUGUAAAUACCAGGAGUGGAAAAACUUGCCUUUGUAAAGUGAGUCAUUGAAUUUGCUAUAUGACAGAAAGUCUGGUUGUUAAAAGGAAAUAUGAUGAAAUGUCUCACCCAUCAUUCAUGUGAACUAGUUCAGAGUCCUGCACUGAGGUUCUUUGUAAUAUGAUGCAAGGGGAAAAAAAAAAAGAUCUUGCAAAAUAGUUUGUUUAUACCUAUCAAAAUAGGUUGAGUCAAGGUUCAACCAUUCUUUACUAAAAAUGCUAUGUAAAUUAAAAAUAGAAUGCUACUUCCUUAACAUGAUAAAGAAUAACAAAUUCUAAACAGUGUUGAAUGUUAUAAUAAAAUAGUGAAACAUUAAAUGCAUUCCCAUCAAACUUGGUAUAAAACAAGAAUACUUGGUUUCACCAUUCUUAGUUAAUAAUGUUCUGGAGAUCCUGUUAUUUUAUGCGCUUACCUUUGAGUUUCUUCUUGUUUUAUUUUACAUUAUUAUCACAGUCUUUCAUCAAACAGGCACCAGGGGAAAUUAAAAAAAUUUUUUUUGUUUGUUUUAUAUAUUUUUUUUAUCCCAUUUUAUAUUUUUCUGUUUUAUUUUCAGUAUUUGUUUACAAGUAAUAGAAACCCAAGUCCAAUCAGCUUGAGCAAAAAUAGGAAUUUAUUGGUUAAGAAGCCAAAAAUUACAGUGAUGGAGCAAAUUACAGUCUAGAUAGACGUGAUUCAAUGACAUGGUCAUG
This 14433-nucleotide long non-coding RNA is filed under the name Marmota monax (woodchuck). The record is from RNAcentral. Lineage: Eukaryota; Metazoa; Chordata; Mammalia; Rodentia; Sciuridae.